Molecule: RNA transcript, 3065 nt
Organism: Trematomus bernacchii (emerald rockcod)
Lineage: Eukaryota; Metazoa; Chordata; Actinopteri; Perciformes; Nototheniidae
Exons: 10
Source: RefSeq, a predicted model, not a curated record
CGUAAUAGUGGUCGUGGAUGAGACGGCAACUUUUGUUGCGCUCGCGAGCCUCCAACAGACAAGUCUGUCAAGGAUGCCAACGCGCAACAAACAGGAUGCUUUCACAUAAAAUCUUUCAAACACUUAAGGAUUUCGAGGAAGCGUUAGCAGACGUUGAAGAAACAACGAUCACAAAGUAUAUUGUGUACAAAAAGGAACAGGUUUUCGGGGAAAAUAACGUGCAACCUUCACCAGGGAAAAAGAUAUACUGGCAGUUGAAAUGUGUACCAUAUGAUGGGGUGCCAUUCCAACUCGUGGGCACCAAGAUAUAUGGAUGCCACCAGGGAAAGGACAGGUGUACUCGGCAAAAGGAGAAGUACCAUGCACAAAAAGAGAAACAAGCGCUUGAAGACCAUGUCUUCAAUGCAAGACGCCAUCUCGUACAAAAUACGAAGAAGAUGGAUUGCCCUGCCCAGAUAACUGUCAGUCAGGUCAUGAAAUGUCCUGGUUUCAAGAUUGCAGAGAACAGUAAAGCAAAGAGGAGGGAGCUCUCAGCAGCACUAAAGGCUGUAGUUGCAGCUGAUCCUUCAACAGUUGAAGUAGUCAUGGAAUACCACACAUGCUUCACCCCAGAAAGUGACCAUCAAAACCAUCCAACUGUUGGAGAGGUAGCUGAACUGCGUGAACCGAUGGAUUCCAGAGUUGAACAACAAAUAGUGAAGCUCACCUUGGCUGGUGCCAGAAAGCUUAGUGAGAUUAGACGUCAACUGUUCAAUUUUGUAAAUGACGAGCUAUUCCGGGGGGAGCAGCCACCUCCACAAACACGUCGGAGGUUUUACCCCACAGACAAGGAUAUCAGGAAUAUCUUAUCAAGAACGAAGGAGGGAAUACGUGAAUCCAAAAAUGACCAGGUCAAUCUGCAGCUUCUGACGCCCAGAUGGUUAGUUGAUGACUGCAAAAUCAAGUACAGGCCAAGCCAGCUACAGGAGGACGGAACUGUCACAAAGCUGCUGUUUUGUUACCAGACAGCCUGGCAGCGAAGGCUUCUCCACCUGUAUGGACAACAGAUGUGCCUGCUUGAUGCUACUUACCGGACGUGUCGUUAUUCUGUUCCCCUCUUCUUCCUAUGUGUACGUACAAAUGUGUGCUAUGCAGUGGUUGGCCUCUUUGUGACCCAGAGUGAGACAACAGCAGAUGUCAAAGAAGCCCUCCAGGUGUUUAAGGAGUGGAACCCUGACUGGAGCCCUAGCCACUUCAUGGUUGAUUUCUCAGAGGUAGAGAUCGGUGCCCUGGAGGAAGAGUUUCAAGGUUCCAAGGUGCUUCUCUGCGACUUCCAUAGGGAGAAAGCUUGGGUUGAAUGGUGCAGGAAGAAAGAUCAUGGAGUGAGCCACGCACAAGACAGUCUCCUACCGCUUCUGAGAAGCAUUGCAGCUGCUUCAACUCCAGAGGAGUUCAGCACACGCCUUUGCAACCUGCAGGAGGCCAAAGUCUGGAAGGACAAUGAAAAAGUGAGGGCGUGGUUUUCAAAUAAGUGGCUCCCAGAGGCUAAGAGAUGGGUGCACGUGUUUCGGGAUGAAGAUCUCAAGGUGGCCAUCUACACCAACAAUGGGGUGGAAAGACAAAAUGAAACCCUAAAGCAUUCUCAUCUUGAAGGUUAUAAGAACUGCAGCCUCAGUGAAAUGCUCACUGUGUUGGUAACUGACUUCCUACCAAGGACAUAUCGGAAGUACAUUGAACUCAAUGUCAAGUACUCCUCAUUCUACAGAAGGUACAAUGAGAACAUGCCAAAGUUCUUAAAAGACAGACCAAGAAGUGUAGCAGACCAUGUGAUGUCAAGGCUUACAGAAGCCCAGUUUUAUGAGGCGAAUGACAUUGUUGCAAAGGGCAAUGGCAUGUUCCAUGUCAAAAGCCAAAGUCAUCCUUGCACACAGCACCACAUCAACUUUGGUGAAAGUAUCAUCAUGCCAUCGUGCACCUGCAAAGACUGGGCAAAGCACAAGUUGCCCUGCAAGCACUUCUGUGCUGUUUUUAAUCAUGUGCAUGAAUGGGGUUGGGAGAAACUGGCAUCUAAUUACAGGGAUAACCCCCUCUUCUCCCUGGAUAAUGCAUGUCUGGGACAGACUUCUUGUGAGAGGGAUGACAGCGGCAGAUCAGACAUCACAGAUCAUACAUACACACCGGUAUCAGUGGAAAUGCAGUCACCAUGUAACGCUUUGCCCGAAAGGAAAAGACCAAGAAAGGUUAAACAAAGAAGGGAAUGUGCCAGUCUCUUGCGUGAGAUUACUGACUUAACAUACCAUCUGCAAGAUGAAGAUUACCUUAAAACGUUAACUGACCAAAUGACCGAGAUCUUGGAAGAUGUGAAGCUACACACUCCACAUGAUCAGAGCCUUCCUCUGACGUUCACACCUAAGAAAAGGAAGAAGGAGAUGGCCAACCUACCUGUGAAAACCGUACCACAAAAGCACCCAUUCACAAAAAGGGUAGGCUGCUUUGCGGAAGCUAUGAGGUUGAACUUCCGGGUCAGCAUGAAUGUGGAGGGAGUAGAGAAGGGUCCUGAUGUCUCAACAAAAAAAUAAUCCCUAUUAAAUUAUCCAUACAUAUUUUUAUUCUAUUUAAUUACAACUUGUAUUGCAACAUUUUUACUUUAACUCUGUAAGGUUAGUCUUUUUAUUUAUCUUGUAUUGCACAUUUGUAUUCUUACUUCCUAUGUUAAUGUACAUCUUUAAAUUGUAUUUUAUUAUAUCUUUGUUGUAUUGCCCUCUUUUACUUUCACUUCUUAUUUCAACAUAAAUAUUGUUAUUUAAAAUCAUAUUUAACAUUUCUGCUUUCAUUUCUUGUUUGUUUUAUAUGUUUAUAUACAUAUGGUUAUUUUAUUUUGCAUUGCCAAUCUUUGAUUUUACUUCCUAUAGUUACAUUAAUCUUUUUAUUAUAUUUUUCUUAUCUUUAAAUUCACACUUUUACUUGUGUAUAUAUAUACAUUUAGCUAUUUAUUAAGUAUUUAUCUUGUAUUGCACAUUUGUAUUCUUACUUCCUAUGUUAAUGUACAUCUUUUAAUUGUAUUUUAUUAUAUCUUUGUUGUAUUG